AACUUUCUUCGGGGAUGGGUGGAAUUCCCUAUCGACGGUAUAGCCCGUGAGCCCUCCGGGGCAGGAAUCGGUGAAAUUCCGAUGCCGACAGUAAAAGUCUGGAUGGGAGGAGAAGGUU
This 118-nucleotide non-coding RNA is filed under the name Syntrophomonas wolfei. RNAcentral describes it as "FMN sequence". It matches the Rfam family "FMN riboswitch aptamer (RFN element)". Rfam says of the family: The RFN element is a highly conserved domain that is found frequently in the 5'-untranslated regions of prokaryotic mRNAs that encode for flavin mononucleotide (FMN) biosynthesis and transport proteins. This element is a metabolite-dependent riboswitch that directly binds FMN in the absence of proteins. RNAcentral also lists the same sequence under 1 other name. The record is from RNAcentral. Lineage: Bacteria; Bacillati; Bacillota; Clostridia; Eubacteriales; Syntrophomonadaceae.